This 253-nucleotide ribosomal RNA is filed under the name uncultured bacterium. RNAcentral describes it as "partial 16S ribosomal RNA". It matches the Rfam family "Bacterial small subunit ribosomal RNA", at positions 524 to 776 of the family's 1533-position model. The record is from RNAcentral.
UACGUAGGUGGCAAGCGUUGUCCGGAAUUACUGGGCGUAAAGGGCGUGUAGGCGGCCUUUUAAGUCAGACGUGAAAACCCUGGGCUUAACCCAGGAACUGCGUUUGAAACUGGAGGGCUUGAGGACCGGAGAGGGUAGUGGAAUUCCCAGUGUAGCGGUGAAAUGCGUAGAUAUUGGGAGGAACACCAGUGGCGAAGGCGACUGCCUGGACGGCACCUGACGCUGAGGCGCGAAAGCUAGGGGAGCAAACAGG